RNAcentral lists this microRNA precursor (189 nucleotides) under Oryza glumipatula. RNAcentral's name for it is "MIR812 microRNA precursor family". It matches the Rfam family "MIR812 microRNA precursor family". The record is from Rfam by way of RNAcentral. Lineage: Eukaryota; Viridiplantae; Streptophyta; Magnoliopsida; Poales; Poaceae.
AAAAAGUUCAUCUUUCAGUUUUUAAAUACAAUAUUUGACUCUUCGUCUUAUUUAAAUUUUUUAUGAUUAAUAUUAUUAUUAUUAUUAGAUGAUAAAACAUAAAUGGUACUUUGUGUGUGACUAAUUUUUUUAGUUUCUUUUAAAAAAAUGAAAUAAGAUGGACGGUCAAACGUAGGGCACAGACCUAAA